Molecule: ribosomal RNA, 247 nt
Filed under: Arnoglossus imperialis (imperial scaldfish)
Lineage: Eukaryota; Metazoa; Chordata; Actinopteri; Pleuronectiformes; Bothidae
Description: partial 28S ribosomal RNA
Source: RNAcentral
CAGAAUCCCGCCUAGACGUAACGAUACCGUAGCGCCGCGGAUCUUCGGUUGGCCCCGGAUAGCCGGGCCCUCGGGCCCGGUGAGCAGAGCCGUUCGUGAAAGGGCUGGGGCGCGGCCCGACAACGGUCGCCCCUCUCCUCUCUCGCACCGCAUGUUUGUGGAGAACCUGGUGCUAAAUGACUUGCAGACGACCUGAUUCUGGGUCAGGGUUUCGUGCGUNNNNGAGCAGCUUCCCUCGCUGCGAUCU